RNAcentral lists this ribosomal RNA (579 nucleotides) under uncultured bacterium. Its description in RNAcentral is "bacterial SSU rRNA". It matches the Rfam family "Bacterial small subunit ribosomal RNA", at positions 338 to 916 of the family's 1533-position model. The record is from RNAcentral.
CCUACGGGAGGCAGCAGUGGGGAAUUUUGGACAAUGGGCGCAAGCCUGAUCCAGCAAUGCCGCGUGCAGGAUGAAGGCCUUCGGGUUGUAAACUGCUUUUAUCAGGGAAGAAACCUCUGGAUUUACUCCGGAGCUGACGGUACCUGAAGAAUAAGCACCGGCUAACUCCGUGCCAGCAGCCGCGGUAAUACGGAGGGUGCGAGCGUUAUCCGGAAUUACUGGGUUUAAAGGGUGCGUAGGCGGCUAUGUAAGUCAGGAGUGAAAGUUUGCGGCUCAACCGUAAAAUUGCUUUUGAUACUGCAUAGCUGGAAUUAGGAUGAGGUCAGCGGAAUGUGGCAUGUAGCGGUGAAAUGCAUAGAUAUGCCAUAGAACACCAAUUGCGAAGGCAGCUGACUAGACCUGGAUUGACGCUGAGGCACGAAAGCGUGGGGAGCGAACAGGAUUAGAUACCCUGGUAGUCCACGCCCUAAACGAUGCUUACUCGACGUAUGGCACUAGAUGUUGUGCGUCCAAGGGAAACCGUUAAGUAAGCCACCUGGGGAGUACGACCGCAAGGUUGAAACUCAAAGGAAUUGACGG